GGAUAGCCUUUCGAAAGAAAGAUUAAUACCUGAUGGUAUGAUGAGAUUGCAUGAUAGCAUCAUUAAAGAUUCAUCGGUGUACGAUGGGGAUGCGUUCCAUUAGGUAGUAGGCGGGGUAACGGCCCACCUAGCCUACGAUGGAUAGGGGUUCUGAGAGGAAGGUCCCCCACAUUGGAACUGAGACACGGUCCAAACUCCUACGGGAGGCAGCAGUGAGGAAUAUUGGUCAAUGGACGAGAGUCUGAACCAGCCAAGUAGCGUGAAGGAUGAAGGUCCUACGGAUUGUAAACUUCUUUUAUAAGGGAAUAAAACCUCCCACGUGUGGGAGCUUGUAUGUACCUUAUGAAUAAGCAUCGGCUAACUCCGUGCCAGCAGCCGCGGUAAUACGGAGGAUGCGAGCGUUAUCCGGAUUUAUUGGGUUUAAAGGGAGCGCAGACGGGUCGUUAAGUCAGCUGUGAAAGUUUGGGGCUCAACCUUAAAAUUGC
RNAcentral lists this ribosomal RNA (485 nucleotides) under uncultured bacterium. Its description in RNAcentral is "bacterial SSU rRNA". It matches the Rfam family "Bacterial small subunit ribosomal RNA", at positions 141 to 624 of the family's 1533-position model. The record is from RNAcentral.